UGCCCCUUGGCCCAGUUGGUGAAGGCGCACGACUGUUAGCAUUGCUUCAUCGUGAGAUCGCAAGUUCGAACCUUGCAGGGGCAG
Mycena vitilis is the source of this 84-nucleotide non-coding RNA. The record is from the annotation of a GenBank genome assembly. Lineage: Eukaryota; Fungi; Basidiomycota; Agaricomycetes; Agaricales; Mycenaceae.